This 468-nucleotide ribosomal RNA is filed under the name uncultured bacterium. RNAcentral describes it as "partial 16S ribosomal RNA". It matches the Rfam family "Bacterial small subunit ribosomal RNA", at positions 28 to 507 of the family's 1533-position model. The record is from RNAcentral.
GACGAACGCUGGCGGCGUGCUUAACACAUGCAAGUCGAACGGAAAGGCCCUGCUUUUGUGGGGUGCUCGAGUGGCGAACGGGUGAGUAACACGUGAGUAACCUGCCCUUGACCUUGGGAUAACUUCAGGAAACUGGGGCUAAUACCGGAUAGGAGCUCCUGCUGCAUGGUGGGGGUUGGAAAGGUUCGGCGGUUGGGGAUGGACUCGCGGCUUAUCAGCUUGUUGGUGGGGUAGUGGCUUACCAAGGCUUUGACGGGUAGCCGGCCUGAGAGGGUGACCGGCCACAUUGGGACUGAGAUACGGCCCAGACUCCUACGGGAGGCAGCAGUGGGGAAUAUUGCACAAUGGGCGGAAGCCUGAUGCAGCAACGCCGCGUGCGGGAUGACGGCCUUCGGGUUGUAAACCGCUUUCGCCUGUGACGAAGCGUGAGUGACGGUAAUGGGUAAAGAAGCACCGGCUAACUACGUG